GUCCGUGCAUUUUCUCAUGAACCAUUCAACCAAAGCUUUUGAAAUUUUUAUAUGUUGUUACUGAUGACAAAAUAGAGGUCAAGUUCAAUAAUGACGAUUUUGACUUUUAUCGUUCAGGAGUUAUGGUUCUUGAAAGAUCGUAAAAUGGCGUUUCCAUUCACGUUGUUGCAUUUACUCAUGAACCAUUCAAUCUAAGCUUUUCAAAUUUUAAUAUGUUGAUACUGAUGACAAAAUGGAGGUCAAAUUUGAUAUUGACGAUUUUCACUUUCACCAUUCAUCAGUAAUGGUUCUUGUGAUAUUGCCAGGACACAAAUAAAUGUUAAUAAAUUCGGUUUGCUGUCGUUGUGACAGCCUCUUGUUU
This 361-nucleotide long non-coding RNA is filed under the name Mytilus galloprovincialis (Mediterranean mussel). Lineage: Eukaryota; Metazoa; Mollusca; Bivalvia; Mytilida; Mytilidae. The record is from RNAcentral.